CCUAAUUCUCUAUCUCUUCACACGGCUUCCUUCUGACCUAAAUCCUUCAGCCGCAUCUAUGUGAUCUCUCCAUCUGAUCGAUCUAUGUGAUCUCUCCAAAUAGUCCAUGAUCUUACUGCUCUUGAUCCUCGGUGUCGAUUUUAGGGUUUUAGCUCUGCUCAGAUGAUGAAGGAGAUGAAGAUGACGACGAUAUUUGCCACCUGCGUCAUUUUAGGAUUUCAUAUUUUCAACUCUCCAGUUUCGUCAUUCUAGGGUUUCAAGUUUGCACAUCUUAUUGGGAUUUCAUUGAGCGUCCAAGAUAUCUUUGUGUGCUACUUGAUGUAGAUGACAUUAACUGUCUCUUGCAGUCAACCCAACCACAAGAUGGAGUGUGAUAUUAGAGUUGUGUUUAGUAAACUCUUUUCCGUUUGGUGUUAAUCAACUGAAUGAAGAACAAAUUUUGUUGCUUGGUGUUAAUGGAGUGAAGAAAAAAGGAUCAUAUUGUCACUUGCAGCUGCUAGAACUAGAAUUUCUACGAUCCCUCGUAAUGGAAUCCCAAAAGG
Helianthus annuus (common sunflower) is the source of this 542-nucleotide long non-coding RNA. RefSeq lists it as uncharacterized. The transcript has 5 exons. The record is from RefSeq and is a predicted model, not a curated record. NCBI's taxonomy places the organism in Eukaryota, Viridiplantae, Streptophyta, Magnoliopsida, Asterales, Asteraceae.